GUCCCUGAUGUUAGCGGCGGACGGGUGAGUAACACGUGGGUAACCUGCCUGUAAGACUGGGAUAACUCCGGGAAACCGGGGCUAAUACCGGAUGGUUGUUUGAACCGCAUGGUUCAGACAUAAAAGGUGGCUUCGGCUACCACUUACAGAUGGACCCGCGGCGCAUUAGCUAGUUGGUGAGGUAACGGCUCACCAAGGCGACGAUGCGUAGCCGACCUGAGAGGGUGAUCGGCCACACUGGGACUGAGACACGGCCCAGACUCCUACGGGAGGCAGCAGUAGGGAAUCUUCCGCAAUGGACGAAAGUCUGACGGAGCAACGCCGCGUGAGUGAUGAAGGUUUUCGGAUCGUAAAGCUCUGUUGUUAGGGAAGAACAAGUGCCGUUCAAAUAGGGCGGCACCUUGACGGUACCUAACCAGAAAGCCACGGCUAACUACGU
Molecule: ribosomal RNA, 439 nt
Filed under: Bacillus amyloliquefaciens
Lineage: Bacteria; Bacillati; Bacillota; Bacilli; Caryophanales; Bacillaceae
Description: bacterial SSU rRNA
Rfam family: Bacterial small subunit ribosomal RNA
Source: RNAcentral